GGAGGGGUGCAAGCGUUGUUCGGAAUUAUUGGGCGUAAAGAGCGUGCAGGGCGGUCCGGUAAGUCAGAUGUGAAAGCCCUGGGCUCAACCCAGGAAGUGCAUUUGAAACUACCAGACUUGAGUACGGGAGAGGAGGGGGGAAUUCCCGGUGUAGAGGUGAAAUUCGUAGAUAUCGGGAGGAAUACCAGUGGCGAAGGCGCCCCUCUGGACCGAUACUGACGCUGAGACGCGAAAGCGUGGGGAGCAAACAGGAUUAGAUACCCUGGUAGUCCACGCCGUAAACGAUGAGCACUAGGUGUAGCGGGUAUUGACCCCUGCUGUGCCGUAGCUAACGCAUUAAGUGCUCCGCCUGGGGACUACGGUCGCAAGACUA
This 373-nucleotide ribosomal RNA is filed under the name uncultured organism. Its description in RNAcentral is "partial 16S ribosomal RNA". It matches the Rfam family "Bacterial small subunit ribosomal RNA", at positions 526 to 896 of the family's 1533-position model. The record is from RNAcentral.